AAACAUUCAACUCUACACGAUUUCCCUUUCUUUGAUCCCUAUCUUUUUCUUUUUCUUUUUCUUUUCAAAUCCACACAACCAUGAGCAUUUUCUUUGCUUUUUUCUUUCUUUUCUUUUUUCUUUGCUCUAUGGUUUCAAGGGUAAUUUCUUUUUCUUGUUUCUUUUCAUAUUUUUACCCUUUCAUAAAAACUCACUUUUCCAAGUUUCUAAUCAACUUUUCACUUUACUCUCCCGAACUUUAGAUUCCAAAACCAAAUUUAUUCAAUAAUGCUCCCUACUUAGACAUAAGCAAAAGGCAAAAUUUUGCAAACAACUCGGUUUGAGG
RNAcentral lists this long non-coding RNA (325 nucleotides) under Lathyrus oleraceus (garden pea). Its description in RNAcentral is "Pisum sativum (pea) long non-coding RNA (PSAT_LNC022765)". Lineage: Eukaryota; Viridiplantae; Streptophyta; Magnoliopsida; Fabales; Fabaceae. The record is from RNAcentral.